Molecule: long non-coding RNA, 873 nt
Organism: Panicum virgatum (switchgrass)
Lineage: Eukaryota; Viridiplantae; Streptophyta; Magnoliopsida; Poales; Poaceae
Exons: 2
Source: RefSeq, a predicted model, not a curated record
CAGAACUUUGUGGCCAGACUGGCACUGCCAUGGAUAUUUACAGCCAUCAUCUGGCACUCAUACCUAAAUCCCAUAUGUAACAGAAUCGGACCCAGAAUGGUACAAAAUGGAGACAUAGUUUUAAAUAAAGUAUUUGUCCCUGAGGAAGACAGAUUACCAUGCAUCCAUUCAUUUUAGGAUAUAAACAAGGUGCAUGGUACAUCUUUUACCACCUCUGCUCCUUGCUUUGUUGGAUAAAGAUUUUUAAUUUUGUUGAACAUUUAACUUCUGAAACAGGUGCUUGCCAUGUCUCGCAUUAUGGUGGCAUGGCAGCCAAUAGGCGUAUCAAUGGGAGUUUUUGACAUGUCCCAUAGGUGUAUAUCACAUCACAAUAUCUGCUUUUUAGUUUAUUCAUUCUGAUCUAUGUAAGACUUCCAAUAUCUCUCAAUCUGUAGUUAUCUUUUUGAAAGAAAGAAAGAAAGCAAUUUGGAGGUCCAGUGGUUUCAGCUCAACCAAGAAAAGCUUGUUCGGAUGCUCGGCAACAUUGAGACCAUGGUUCUCGUUGGCUGGUGACUGUGCAAGCUCUAUGAGUCAGGCAAUAUGGCAUCAGGCUGGAGCUGGAGUGGUGUGAGAAAAACACUGUUACCUGGCUGGUGGCUGGAGGUUGGAGCUGGAGGGAUGUGAGAGGGAAAAACUGUAGCGCUGGAGGGCUGGAGACCAGCCGAACGCAGUAGUUUAGGCAAGGUUUGUAAGUUGCAGUAUAGCUAGCAAUGGUUGAACGGUUCCCUCAUCUUGAGCCCCGUGAUAUUUUCAUAAUUAGUUUUUUUUUUCAAAGGACAGGCCAAAGUUUUUGUUGCAACUUAAACUUAGCGUGGUUAUUUUUUUGCAACAUUA